RNAcentral lists this ribosomal RNA (253 nucleotides) under uncultured bacterium. RNAcentral's name for it is "partial 16S ribosomal RNA". It matches the Rfam family "Bacterial small subunit ribosomal RNA", at positions 524 to 776 of the family's 1533-position model. The record is from RNAcentral.
UACGUAGGGGGCAAGCGUUGUUCGGAAUUACUGGGCGUAAAGGGCGCGUAGGCGGCACGACAAGUCGGGAGUGAAAGCCCGGGGCUCAACCCCGGAAUGUCUCUCGAAACUGUCGAGCUAGAGUGCAGAAGAGGCAACUGGAAUUCCCAGUGUAGCGGUGAAAUGCGUAGAUAUUGGGAAGAACACCUGCGGCGAAGGCGGGUUGCUGGGCUGAUACUGACGCUGAGGCGCGAAAGCCAGGGGAGCGAACGGG